This 490-nucleotide ribosomal RNA is filed under the name uncultured bacterium. RNAcentral's name for it is "partial 16S ribosomal RNA". It matches the Rfam family "Bacterial small subunit ribosomal RNA", at positions 30 to 507 of the family's 1533-position model. The record is from RNAcentral.
AUUGAACGCUGGCGGCAGGCCUAACACAUGCAAGUCGAACGGUAACAGGAAACAGCUUGCUGUUUCGCUGACGAGUGGCGGGCGUGUGAGUAAUGUCUGUGAAACUGCCUGAUGGAGGGGGAUAACUACUGGAAGCGGUAACUACUACCGCACAUCGUGGCAAGACCAAAGAGGGUGGCCCCCGGGCCUCUUGCCUUAGGCUGUGUCCGGAUGGGAUUAGCUUGUUGGUGGGGUAAAGGCUCACCAAGGCGACGAUCCCUAGCUGGUCUGAGAGGAUGACCAGCCACACUGGAACUGAGACACGGUCCAGACUCCUACGGGAGGCAGCAGUGGGGAAUAUUGCACAAUGGGCGCAAGCCUGAUGCAGCCAUGCCGCGUGUAUGAAGAAGGCCUUCGGGUUGUAAAGUACUUUAAGCGGGGAGGAAGGGAGUAAAGUUAAUACCUUGGCUCAUUGACGUUACCCGCAGAAGAAGCACCGGCUAACUCCGUG